RNAcentral lists this ribosomal RNA (490 nucleotides) under uncultured bacterium. RNAcentral's name for it is "partial 16S ribosomal RNA". It matches the Rfam family "Bacterial small subunit ribosomal RNA", at positions 30 to 507 of the family's 1533-position model. The record is from RNAcentral.
AUUGAACGCUGGCGGCAGGCCUAACACAUGCAAGUCGAAUGGUAACAGGAAACAGCUUGCUGUUUCUCUGACGAGUGGCGGACGGGUGAGUAAUGUCUGGGAAACUGCCUGAUGGAGGGGGAUAACUACUGGAAACGGUAGCUAAUACCGCAUAACGUCGCAAGACCAAAGAGGGGGACCUUCGGGCCUCUUGCCAUCAGAUGUGCCCAGAUGGGAUUAGCUAGUAGGUGGGGUAACGGCUCACCUAGGCGACGAUCCCUAGCUGGUCUGAGAGGAUGACCAGCCACACUGGAACUGAGACACGGUCCAGACUCCUACGGGAGGCUGCAGUGGGGAAUAUUGCACAAUGGGCGCAAGCCUGAUGCAGCCAUGCCGCGUGUAUGAAGAAGGCCUUCGGGUUGUAAAGUACUUUCAGCGGGGAGGAAGGGAGUAAAGUUAAUACCUUUGCUCAUUGACGUUACCCGCAGAAGAAGCACCGGCUAACUCCGUG